GAGGAAUAUUGGUCAAUGGACGGAAGUCUGAACCAGCCAAGUAGCGUGCAGGAUGACGGCCCUAUGGGUUGUAAACUGCUUUUGUAUGGGGAUAAAGUUAGGGACGUGUCCCUAUUUGCAGGUACCAUACGAAUAAGGACCGGCUAAUUCCGUGCCAGCAGCCGCGGUAAUACGGAAGGUCCGGGCGUUAUCCGGAUUUAUUGGGUUUAAAGGGAGUGUAGGCGGUCUGUUAAGCGUGUUGUGAAAUUUAGGUGCUCAACAUUUAACUUGCAGCGCGAACUGUCAGACUUGAGUACACGCAGCGCAGGCGGAAUUCAUGGUGUAGCGGUGAAAUGCUUAGAUAUCAUGAGGAACUCCGAUCGCGAAGGCAGCCUGCGGGAGUGUUACUGACGCUUAAGCUCGAAGGUGCGGGUAUCGAACAGGAUUAGAUACCCUGGUAGUCCGCACUGUAAACGAUGGAUGCCCGCCGUUGGCGCCCUGCGCCUGCGGCCAAGCGAAAGCAUUAAGCAUCCCACCUGGGGAGUACGCCGGCAACGGUG
This 539-nucleotide ribosomal RNA is filed under the name uncultured bacterium. RNAcentral's name for it is "bacterial SSU rRNA". It matches the Rfam family "Bacterial small subunit ribosomal RNA", at positions 356 to 896 of the family's 1533-position model. The record is from RNAcentral.